ACCAACUCUCUGCAAAACCCACAUCAAUUCUCCAACAAAUACAUCAACUAGGUCAUUCUCCCCACUCCACAAUCCUCAACAAAUCACCACAAAUUUUAUUCACUCAUUUUCCUCUGCAUCGAAAUCCAGCCGAGCCAGAAUUUGAUUUCAGAGAACAGCAAGUCGUAAAAAUCUUUUCAAGGUUUUACCUUCUAACUCUGUACAAAUUCAGCAUUCAUAUUUACAAACACCACAGUAGAUUAAGCACCCAUGAAUUGAGUAUGAAAGAAAUUUUUUUAUAUACGAUGGAUAAAUGAAAUAGAAUGGAGUAGAUACAAGUAUGAGCAUGAAUUCCUAACUGCUAUUAUGUGUAUGUUAUUAUAUGAUAUUUACUGAUACACCAACAAUGAAAAAGAACGAUUUGAGAAAAGUUUGAAGCUUUGAAUCUCCUUUGUUUUCAUACGUGCUGCGUUGAGUUGGGUUGAUAGUUGUGUAUGUGUGUGAGUCGAGUGGCGUGGAGCUGCUGCUACACGUCUGGCCGGGAAAGAAGGAAGGGGGAGAGGGAGAAUAGGGGGCUGGGAUGGCGAUGGCGACUUCUGCUACUGGUCGCCGGGAAUGGAGGCAGAGAUCAGGGAUCUAGGGCUUUCGGGCGGGUCCAGAGCGGGAGAGAGGGGAUAAGGGUGUUGAGAGGGAAGCGGCUGUUGCGGCUUUGCUGCAAUCGCCGGAAACCAGAGGGAGGCAACGGAACUCUUCGCCUUUGAAGGAGGGAGGUUGCCGGAGUUUAGUGAGAGAGGAAGAGUUUAGAGGUCGGUGCGUUGUUUGAGUCAGGGAGACGAGAGGCUUGAGUGGCUCCUCGCUGGAAAUUUCAGGCGGCGGCGGCUCCUGUGUUGUGUGUGUGUGUGUGCACGUGGUUGAGUUCUGGAGAAAGAAAGAGGGCGUGCUGAGUCUUUCGAUUGGAGAGAGAGUCGAAGGGGAGCCGUUGAGGCGACGCCGGAGGAAGCCGCGGCGGCGGAUUUUUACCGGAGAAGGGGUGUUGUCUGCAUGUGUGUGUGUCGUGUGUGUGCGUGAGUGUUGUGUCUGUGAUUUUUAUGAGGGAGAAUGAUUAGGGUUGGGCUUCAUUUAUUUAUUUUUUAAAAUGAAAUGGGUUGAUUUAUUUUAUUUGAGCAUGGGCUGCCUACUUUUACUAAUUGGGCCAAAGAAUUAAGAUUUGGGUAAUUUUAAACACAGCCUUCAAUUUUCUCACUAUAAUCCCAUUAUAUAUAAAAAAAAUUAAAUAACUAUAAUUAUACUAUUCUACCCUUAUAGCCCAUUUAAAAUUUGUUUUAUAUUAAUAAGUUUAUCAAAAUUACUUUGAAAGAAUAACACAUAAUCUCUUCUCUUUAUGGAUAAAUCUCUUCUCCAUAGAUAUAGCCUCCAACUGAAAAUAUCAAGAUUGAGGAAAAUGGCAAAUUUCGUCUAACUUCAAAUAUCAGACAAAAAAAAUGAAUCACGAACCACAAUUAAUGAAUAAUAUAUUGAACCAUUUAAUUUCCUUUCUGUGCAAAUUAAUGAUAAUGAUUGAAAUAAGUGGUGACAUUUGCAAAAAUCAAAUGACAAAAGAAUUUUUUUCGUUUCUUGUCUGUGCAAAACUCUUGGAAUUCGUACACUACAAACAGAAACAUUGUAGCUCAUUGGGGAUUCGAAUUCGUGCAACAGCUUAUUAUCAUACCCCGACUCAUUGUCGUUGAAAUCAGUGGAUUUUGGAGUCGUCAGGCAUGACAUUGGUCGGAAGUUUGGGGAAUCUGAAGACCAUCGGAGAUCCCAGUCACUAAGAAGCGCGUCGAUUUCCUUUCAAAUAAAGCAGAAUGAUUUUGUUUUUGAACGUAAUUUUUUAUUUUUUGAACUCACCAGUAUGAUAUUUGAAGUUCAUAGGCACAAUAUGUCAAUCUUCCUUAAUCUCGGUCUAUCUUCUUAAGAUUUUGAAUUGGGG
This 1948-nucleotide long non-coding RNA is filed under the name Salvia miltiorrhiza (redroot sage). Its description in RNAcentral is "long non-coding RNA (SMIL_LNC011025)". The record is from RNAcentral. Lineage: Eukaryota; Viridiplantae; Streptophyta; Magnoliopsida; Lamiales; Lamiaceae.